Molecule: ribosomal RNA, 433 nt
Filed under: uncultured bacterium
Lineage: Bacteria
Description: partial 16S ribosomal RNA
Rfam family: Bacterial small subunit ribosomal RNA
Source: RNAcentral
AACGAACGCUGGCGGCAUGCCUAACACAUGCAAGUCGAACGAGAGCAUCGGGUCUAGUGGCGCACGGGUGCGUAACGGGUGGGAACCUGCCCAUAGGUUCGCAAUAACGCCCCGAAAGGGGUGCUAAUACGGGAGAAUGUCUUCGAUCCAAAGUUAUAUCGCGAUUGGGUGUGCCUGGGUUGGAUUCGCUAGCUGGUAGGGUAAAAGCCUAUCAAGGGGUCGAUCGAUAGCUGGUCUGAGAGGCUGAUCAGCGACACUGGGACUAAGGCACGGUCCAGACUCCUACGGGAGGCAGGAGUGGCUAAUCUUGGACAGCGGGCGAUAGCCUGAUCCACCACGGCUGCGUGAGUGCUGAAGGCCUUAGGGUUGUAAAGUUCUUUUACCCGGGAUGAUAUUGACGGUACCGGGAGAAUAAGCUCCGGCUAACUCCGUG